UUUUUUUUUCAUUUUUAUUCUAAAAGGACCCUUAUUCUAUUUCGAUAUUCCUUUCCUUAUAGAUCCGAGUUCUAAAUUAUUAGACAAAAAUAGAAAAUAGAUCCAUGGGUUUAAUACCUUUUUAUAGAACUCGUACUUCAGAGAAAUAUCAGAUAGAGUCGACGGUUGUAUUAAAAAAGAAAUUAGCAAGUUUUUUUUUCUAUUUUUUCUUCAGUUCAUUUCAAAAUACUUCAAUUGGUACGCGCAAGAAAUA
This 253-nucleotide long non-coding RNA is filed under the name Phoenix dactylifera (date palm). RNAcentral's name for it is "long non-coding RNA (PDAC_LNC002542)". Lineage: Eukaryota; Viridiplantae; Streptophyta; Magnoliopsida; Arecales; Arecaceae. The record is from RNAcentral.